Molecule: ribosomal RNA, 201 nt
Filed under: uncultured prokaryote
Description: partial 16S ribosomal RNA
Rfam family: Bacterial small subunit ribosomal RNA
Source: RNAcentral
GACGAACCGUGCGAACGUUGUUCGGAAUCACUGGGCUUAAAGGGCGCGUAGGCGGGUCUGCAAGUCCGGGGUGAAAGCCCCCAGCUCAACUGGGGAAGUGCCUUGGAAACUGCGGGUCUUGAGGGAGGUAGGGGCAUGUGGAACUUCGGGUGGAGCGGUGAAAUGCGUUGAUAUCGAGAGGAACACCUGCGGCGAAGGCGG